GCAGCAGGCGCGAAAACUUCACACUGCAGGAAACUGUGAUGAGGGAACUCCAAGUGACUGCACAAUGUGUAGCCUUUUCUUGAAUCUUAAUAGUUCUUGGAAUAAGGGCUGGGAAAGACCGGUGCCAGCCGCCGCGGUAAUACCGGCAGCUCAAGUGGUCGUCGCUUUUAUUGGGCCUAAAACGUCCGUAGCCUGUUUGGUAAAUCUGUGGGUAAAUCAACGAGCUCAACUCGUUGAAUUCUGCAGAGACUGCCAGACUAGGGACCGGGAGAGGUAUGAGGUACUCUGGGGGUAGGGGUAAAAUCCUGUCAUCCUCAGAGGACCACCUGUUGCGAAGGCGUCAUACUGGAACGGAUCCGACGGUCAGGGACGAAGCCUAGGGGCACGAACCGGAUUAGAUACCCGGGUAGUCCUAGGUGUAAACGCUGUGGAUUUGGUGUGUGGGGUCCGCAAUGGGCCCCAUGUGCCGGAGUGAAGAUGUUAAAUCCACUGCCUGGGGAGUACGGUCGCAAGGCUGAAACUUAAAGGAAUUGGCGGGGGAGCACUGCAACGGGAGGAGCGUGCGGUUUAAUUGGAUUCAACGCCGGAAAACUCACCAAGGCCGACGGACAUAUGAAGAUCAGCGUAACGAGCUUAUCGGAUUGUUCGAGAGGUGGUGCAUGGCCGUCGUCAGUUCGUACUGUAAAGCGUUCUGUUAAGUCAGAUAACGAACGAGACCCGCAUCCUUAUUUGCGACCCUCAUGUCCGCAUGAGGCGCACCAUAGGGAGACCGCUGGUGUGAAACCAGAGGAAGGCGCGGGCAACGACAGGUCAGUAUGCCCCGAAUGUCUUGGGCUACACGCGCGCUACAAAGGACAGGACAAUGGGAAGCCACGCCGAGAGGCGGCGCUACCCCGAAACCUGUUCAUAGUUCGGAUCGAGGGCUGUAACUCGCCCUCGUGAAGCUGGAUUCCGUAGUAAUCGUGUUUCAACAUAGCACGGUGAAUAUGCCCCUGCUCCUUGCACACACCGCCCGUCAAACCAUC
Molecule: ribosomal RNA, 1025 nt
Filed under: marine metagenome
Description: bacterial SSU rRNA
Rfam family: Archaeal small subunit ribosomal RNA
Source: RNAcentral